UGGGGAAUUUUGCGCAAUGGGGGAAACCCUGACGCAGCAACGCCGCGUGGAGGAUGAAGUCUCUUGGGACGUAAACUCCUUUCGAUAGGGAAGAUAAUGACGGUACCUAUAGAAGAAGCCCCGGCUAACUUCGUGCCAGCAGCCGCGGUAAUACGAGGGGGGCAAGCGUUGUUCGGAAUUAUUGGGCGUAAAGGGCGCGUAGGCGGUUUGGCAAGUUUCGUGUGAAAUCUUCGGGCUCAACUCGAAGUCUGCACGGAAAACUGCCGGGCUUGAGUAUGGGAGAGGUGAGUGGAAUUUCCGGUGUAGCGGUGAAAUGCGUAGAUAUCGGAAGGAACACCUGUGGCGAAAGCGGCUCACUGGACCAUUACUGACGCUGAGGCGCGAAAGCUAGGGGAGCAAACAGG
RNAcentral lists this ribosomal RNA (404 nucleotides) under uncultured bacterium. Its description in RNAcentral is "bacterial SSU rRNA". It matches the Rfam family "Bacterial small subunit ribosomal RNA", at positions 355 to 776 of the family's 1533-position model. The record is from RNAcentral.